This 726-nucleotide ribosomal RNA is filed under the name uncultured bacterium. Its description in RNAcentral is "bacterial SSU rRNA". It matches the Rfam family "Bacterial small subunit ribosomal RNA", at positions 71 to 793 of the family's 1533-position model. The record is from RNAcentral.
CAUGAGAGCUUGCUCUUGAUGACGACCGCCGUACGGGUGCGUAACGCGUAUGCAACCUACCUACUACAGGGGGAUAGCCACUGGAAACAGUGAUUAAUACCCCAUAAUGCAGGCACUCCACCUGGAGAUAUUGCUAAAGAUUUAUCGGUAGUAGAUGGGCAUGCGUAAGAUUAGCUAGUUGGUAGUGUAACGGACUACCAAGGCGACGAUCUUUAGCGGGUCUGAGAGGAUGAUCCGCCACACUGGUACUGAGACACGGACCAGACUCCUACGGGAGGCAGCAGUAGGGAAUAUUGGUCAAUGGGGGGAACCCUGAACCAGCCAUGCCGCGUGCAGGAAGACAGCCUUCUGGGUUGUAAACUGCUUUUAUCAGGGGGGAAUUAUUGGGAUGCGUCCCAAAGUUGACAGUACCUGAUGAAUAAGCACCGGCUAACUCCGUGCCAGCAGCCGCGGUAAUACGGAGGGUGCGAGCGUUGUCCGGAUUUAUUGGGUUUAAAGGGUGCGUAGGCGGAUUAAUAAGUCAGUGGUGAAAGUCUUAGGCUUAACCUAAGGAUUGCCAUUGAUACUGUUAGUCUUGAGUAAAGUCGAGGUAGGCGGAAUUUAUGGUGUAGCGGUGAAAUGCAUAGAUACCAUAAGGAACACCGAUAGCGAAGGCAGCUUACUAGACUAUAACUGACGCUGAGGCACGAAAGCGUGGGUAGCGAACAGGAUUAGAUACCCUGGUAG